RNAcentral lists this transfer RNA (71 nucleotides) under Stegodyphus mimosarum. It matches the Rfam family "tRNA". From Rfam's summary of the family: Transfer RNA (tRNA) molecules are approximately 80 nucleotides in length. Their secondary structure includes four short double-helical elements and three loops (D, anti-codon, and T loops). Lineage: Eukaryota; Metazoa; Arthropoda; Arachnida; Araneae; Eresidae. The record is from Rfam by way of RNAcentral.
GCCUUCGUGGUGUAAUGGAAGCACACUCGGCGCAUAUUCGAAAAGUCUAGGUUCGAGUCCCGGUGAGGGCA